RNAcentral lists this ribosomal RNA (464 nucleotides) under uncultured bacterium. RNAcentral's name for it is "partial 16S ribosomal RNA". It matches the Rfam family "Bacterial small subunit ribosomal RNA", at positions 28 to 506 of the family's 1533-position model. The record is from RNAcentral.
GAUGAACGCUGGCGGCGUGCUUAACACAUGCAAGUCGAACGGAAAGGCUCCUGCUUGCAGGGGUACUCGAGUGGCGAACGGGUGAGUAACACGUGGGUGAUCUGCCCUGCACUUCGGGAUAAGCCUGGGAAACUGGGUCUAAUACCGGAUAGGACGAUGGUUUGGAUGCCAUUGUGGAAAGUUUUUCGGUGUGGGAUGAGCUCGCGGCCUAUCAGCUUGUUGGCGGGGUAAUGGCCUACCAAGGCGUCGACGGGUAGCCGGCCUGAGAGGGUGUACGGCCACAUUGGGACUGAGAUACGGCCCAGACUCCUACGGGAGGCAGCAGUGGGGAAUAUUGCACAAUGGGCGCAAGCCUGAUGCAGCGACGCCGCGUGGGGGAUGACGGCCUUCGGGUUGUAAACUCCUUUCGCUAGGGACGAAGCGCAAGUGACGGUACCUGGAGAAGAAGCACCGGCGAACUACGG